GAUGAAGAACGCAGCGAAAUGCGAUAAGUAAUGUGAAUUGCAGAAUUCAGUGAAUCAUCGAAUCUUUGAACGCACAUUGCGCCCCCUGGUAUUCCGGGGGGCAUGCCUGUCCGAGCGUCAUUACAACCCUCAAGCUCAGCUUGGUGUUGGGCCCCGCCGCCCCGGCGGGCCCUAAAGUCAGUGGCGGUGCCGUCCGGCUCCGAGCGUAGUAAUUCUUCUCGCUCUGGGGGCCCGGCCGCGUGCCCGCCAGCAACCCCCAAUUUUUUUCAGGUUGACCUCGGAUCAGGUAGGGAUACCCGCUGAACUUAAGCAUAUCAAUAAGCGGAGGA
This 329-nucleotide unclassified non-coding RNA is filed under the name soil metagenome. RNAcentral describes it as "partial contains 5.8S ribosomal RNA, internal transcribed spacer 2, and large subunit ribosomal RNA". The stretch from base 1 to 120 matches the Rfam family "5.8S ribosomal RNA", at positions 35 to 154 of the family's 154-position model. The record is from RNAcentral.